This 229-nucleotide ribosomal RNA is filed under the name uncultured Lactobacillus sp. RNAcentral describes it as "partial 16S ribosomal RNA". It matches the Rfam family "Bacterial small subunit ribosomal RNA", at positions 138 to 354 of the family's 1533-position model. Lineage: Bacteria; Bacillati; Bacillota; Bacilli; Lactobacillales; Lactobacillaceae. The record is from RNAcentral.
UCGGGAUAACACCUGGAAACAGAUGCUAAUACCGGAUAACAACAGAUGAUGCCUAUCAACUGUUUAAAAGAUGGUUCUGCUAUCACUCUUGGAUGGACCUGCGGUGCAUUAGCUAGUUGGUAGGGUAACGGCCUACCAAGGCGAUGAUGCAUAGCCGAGUUGAGAGACUGAUCCGGCCACAUUGGGACUGAGACACCGGACCCAAACUCCGUACGGGGAGGCAGCAGGC